GUAGGUGGCAAGCGUUGUCCGGAAUUAUUGGGCGUAAAGCGCGCGCAGGCGGUUCUUUGAGUCUGAUGUGAAAGCCCACGGCUCAACCGUGGAGGGUCAUUGGAAACUGGAGAACUUGAGUACAGAAGAGGAAAGCGGAAUUCCACGUGUAGCGGUGAAAUGCGUAGAGAUGUGGAGGAACACCAGUGGCGAAGGCAGCUUUCUGGUCUGUAACUGACGCUGAGGCGCGAAAGCGUGGGGGAGCAAACAGGAUUAGAUACCCUGGUAGUCCACGCCGUAAACGAUGAGUGCUAAGUGUUAGGGGGUUUCCGCCCCUUAGUGCUGCAGCUAACGCAUUAAGCACUCCGCCCUGGGAGUACGGCCGCAAGGCUG
RNAcentral lists this ribosomal RNA (372 nucleotides) under uncultured organism. Its description in RNAcentral is "partial 16S ribosomal RNA". It matches the Rfam family "Bacterial small subunit ribosomal RNA", at positions 527 to 896 of the family's 1533-position model. The record is from RNAcentral.